CAGAGUGGCUGUAGGAUCAGGGGACAUCCCAGGAGGUAGCGACUUUAUCUCCAUAAAUUUAUAUUCUGAGUCCCUCCGACCGCAUAAGCCAGAGUUUAGCUAGAAUUGCAGAUGAUAAUCCAGCCGGGAGUCCAAAGUACGUUUCAGCCCAGGGCCCAUCUGUCUGACGGGUCCUCCAGCCGCCUUUCCUCCUCCUGCCCAGGCUGCUCAAGCUGCUGUCUCUACCGUGGUCCAUCGAGUAGGAGAGGCAGAGAUGAAGGCUGGACCACAGGGUGAUGGGCCUCGUCUGUGCUGGCGUCGUCAGGGCCAUGUCCUCAUUAGGGGCACAUUGCUGCUCGCACGGUGCUUCCUCCAGGGGAAAGAGGGACCCUAAUUGUGCCUGCUGUCGUGUGACCUGAACGAUGCAGGGGGCUCUGAUGGGGUGUGAGACCGUGGCCUCCUUUACCUGGUCCCCUCACAUACACAGGAGCCCACGGGGCCCAGCUGGGCGGUCCCAUGGCCCAGGGCAAACCUGCGGGGCCUCCGUGCCCACACAGUGAAAUGUGGAGGGACACGGUGUUCUGGAGGGAGGGGUGGAGUCCUGUUGUCAGCACCUCCGUCACGACGUGACGAUGGCGUGCAUGGAGAGAGGCAGGAGCAUCGGGGCGUCCUCGAACUUCCCGUGAUGUCGCUUCGCAGUGACUGAAACUGGUGAUGGGAAAGUAGCGCUUUGGAAGGCUGCUCACAGGCACUUUGUCCAGGAAGCGAGGGCCUUGCGUGCGGCCACACGGACUGCAAGCAGUUCCCAUCAGAUGCUCCACCGGACGGCCUGGGAGGAACGGCCCUGAGGGCUCCUGUUCCUGCGUGCACCCUUGACUCUUCCCCUGCCUCCGACACAAGGAAGUUGGAGCCGUUCUGGAAGCUGGAAGCUGCUCUUCUGCCCGAUACUGGUUUGAGAGGCAGUCAGGAGGGCUCCACCCCUGUCAACAGGACAAAAGUCCCAGAGUCGAGAGCUCGGCUGGGCCACUUCCUGAGGGAGAUGCAGCUCCAUGAGGCCUGGAGGCUGAGGAGAGUCAGGAGGAGACGCUGGAGAGGAGGGCCCAGCGUGGCCCAGCCUGCCCUGCGGCUCCUGGGGCUGCAGGUGCCAGUCGCACCUUCAGGGCUGCGGUUGGGUGUCCUCCACGGCGCUUGCGAGGGGGACCUUGAGGUUUCUUCUGGCCUCGGCUUCCUCUCACAACAACAAGGGUUGGUUCCUCGAAGGGCAAGGAUGCAUCACUGUUCGUGAUUUUCCAUCUCGGCUGCCUCUCGGCCUUCCCUGCUUGGGUGGCUCUUAACCCACAACCAAGGAACCCAGUGUCCUCUGGAUCUGGUUCUGCAUGCACUCUCCCAGCUCCUGCUGGUACAUGUUUCCUGGGUCCUGACGCUCGUUUGCUGACAGGUCCUUCCUUCCUCGUCAGACCCUGAGCUUCUCCAGCUGCGUGACACUGAUGUCGUGGAGGAGCAGAGCUGGAGCAGAUCACUGGGGAAUCCGUGUCGUCAUACAGACAUCUCUGCGUCAUGUUCCAGCACAGAUAGAGCAUUUGCCUUCAACAGGGAGAAGAAGGACACCUCUUCGGGUCCAGAAGAUGUAGGGAAACCUGAGGUUCAAGAAUUUGAGUGUAUUGAUCAGAUGACCCUCCCUGAAGCCUCAGGGUCUCCCUUCUUCCCAACCAGGUCCUGACAUUGGGCAGCAGCCUCCCUUGGGUUGAGGGCUGCUGUCUUUAGGACUGAGUCUUGAUCCACGGCUCUUUUUGGUUCUCUGGCUGCAGGAGAGGAGAGUGUCUAUAUGGCACCAAGGAAGCCCUCUUUUUGUCACUUUUUUUUAAAAUUGGAGAUCUUUUCAUUGCCUUGUUCUUGGCAAGAGCUGCCUGAUUCCGUAAUGCAGAUGGUUGCUGCUCUUCCCAGCCACUCCGAUGCCCUGGAUGCGGCACCCAGCAGUGUGUUUCUUUCAUUGGGCUUCCACCCUGGCUCAGUGCUACUACUGCCUGGCAGGGCUGUGGUGCCACCAGUGAUGUGCCACUUGGCAUUCUGUGCUCAACCCCACCAUACAGGCUGCUCCUGGAACACUUCUGGCCCCACCAUCUUCUGCUGGGCUCCCCUGGACACAAACUCUGAAGCAGAGGUUUGUGUGCAAGAGGUUAUUGGGAGUGUUCUCGGAAGAAAAGUCCUGUGAGCGUGGGAGGGAAGAAGGAUCGGGCAGAGGAGUAUCUUGACCACUGUGCAGGUCUGUGGGGCCUCGGCUGACCCUCUGAGAUGCUCAGCAGCUGGGGCUGCUGGUUAGUUGUCUUGAUGGAGGCAGAGCCUUGGUCUUGGGGACUGGGGGCAUCUGGAUGGCGCACGACAGCACACCCUACAGAAGCCUCUGAGGUCUCAGAGUUAGAGGCAGCAACGGUGGAGUUUGAGCCAAGGAAAAGCUGCUGUCCUAACUUGCAUGUUAAACUCGCAGUAAACACCAUGUAUGGAGGUCUUGACGGGAUGAAGUCAAGCAGGUGACGAGGACCUGGAAGGAGACUCAGGUAGCCACGGUGAAGAAUGCUUAGUAACCCUUUUCACGUGUACCUAAGCCUUUUUUUUUAGGAAAUGAGGAUAAAACAGUGAAAAACCAGGCCUUGUCUUCAGGAAGCUUGUGUUCUGGUGUGUGCAGGGUGUGUGUGGGCUACCCAGAUGGGGGAGGGGGGAAGUCAGGGGAGACACAGACCAUACCUGAGGCAAGGAAGGAACCCCACAGAGGCCUGAGGGUCAGGAGGGCAGACCCAGGGCACUUGGCUUGUGUGAGCAGCCACUGCGCUGGGAGCUAGGGCAGCCUGGGAGCCAGGGUGGCCAAGGCCAGUGGACAGCAGAGGAGCAGGAGGGCAGAUGGCAGGCAUGGGGAGCUGAGGCUGACACGCAGAACCUCCAGACUGCGUGCUUCUCCAGACCCCAUGGCUGCCCUGUCUCUCAGGUCACCUCCUGCUUCUCCAUCCCCUGCAGCUGGCCUUCUCUGGACCACUGCGAAGGCUGGGUCCCGCCAGGGGAUUCUUUUCCUUUGAUACCUUCGUGUUUGAAUUUCUUAAAACUCUGUGCAUGUGCUAGUGUUAAAUCUCAAAACCGAGUUAAUCAUACAGAGCCUCACAGUGUAAGAAAACGGAGGGAGGGGAGGGGGCACAGGGCGCCCCUGGCCCCAGAUCUCGCCGGAGCUGGGCGGUCAGCAACGUGGGACUGUCGGCAACACGGGACGGCAGGGGCGUGGGCGCCAGGACCUACGCUAAGGCCGCCCUCGCAGGCCAGGCAGCUCCAGGAGUCGGGGCCCCCCCCCGCCCCUCCCCCGUUCCCUGCUCCCCGCCCCACGUCCCCUCCCGCGCCCCCGCCGGGUCCUCCCCUCGCCAUGUUCUCCCCGCCGCCCGCCUGGUCCCCUGUGCUCAGUUACCCCCUGCCCCCGCUGGGUCCCUCUCACGCCCCGCAUCCGGUGGCCCGUGCUGAGCUCCCCGCCUGCCCCCACGGGGUCCCUCGGCCCGGUCCCUCUGCCGUGUGCCCUCUCCGCGGUGAGCCGCUCCCGGCGGGGUCCCUUCCGAUCCUUCCUUUGAGGCCGACCCCGCCCCUCUCCAGACC
RNAcentral lists this long non-coding RNA (3606 nucleotides) under Equus asinus (donkey). Its description in RNAcentral is "lncRNA (ENSEASG00005032657.1)". The record is from RNAcentral. Lineage: Eukaryota; Metazoa; Chordata; Mammalia; Perissodactyla; Equidae.